GGUUCGAUCCUGGCUCAGAUUGAACGCUGGCGGGAUGCUUUACACAUGCAAGUCGAACGGCAGCACGGACUUCGGUCUGGUGGCGAGUGGCGAACGGGUGAGUAAUGUAUCGGAACGUGCCCUAGUAGCGGGGAUAACUAAGAAAGCGUAGCUAAUACCGCAUACGCCCUUCGAAGGAAAGCGGGGGACCUUCGGGCCUCGCACUAUUAAACGGCCGAUAUCGGGUUAGCUAGUUGGUGGGGUAACGGCUCCUGGGCGACGAUCCGUAGCUGGUUUGAAGGAACGACCAACCACACUGGGACUGAACACGGCCCAGACUCCUACGGGAGGCAGCAGUGGGGAAUUUUGGACAAUGGGGGAAACCCUGAUCCAGCCAUCCCGCGUGUGCGAUGAAGGCCUUCCGGGUUGUAAAGCACUUUUGGCAGGAAAGAAACGGCACGGGAUAAUACCCGUGCAACUGACGGUACCUGCAGAAUAAGCACCGGCUAACUACGUGCCAGCAGCCGCGGUAAUACGUAAGUGCAAGCGUUAAUCGGAAUUACUGGGCGUAAAGCGUGCGCAGGCGGUUCGGAAAGAAAGAUCUUAAAUCCCAGAGCUUAACUUUGGAACUGCAUUUUUAACUACCGAGCUAGAGUGUGUCAGAGGGAGGUGGAAUUCCGCGUGUAGCAGUGAAAUGCGUAGACAUGCGGAGGAACACCGAUGGCGAAGGCAGCCUCCUGGGAUAGCUUGCACUGACGCUCUGCAGCGUGGGGAGCAAACAGGAUUAGAUGCCCUGGUAGUCCACGCCCUAAACGAUGUCAACUAGCUGUUGAGGCCUUCGGGCCUUGGUAGCGCAGCUAACAUGAAGUUGACCGCCUGGGGUACGGUCGCAAGAUUAAAACUCAAAGGAAUUGACGGGGACCCGCACAAGCGGUGGAUGAUGUGGAUUAAUUCGAUGCAACGCGAAAACCUUACCUACCCUUGACAUGUCUGGAAUCCCGAAGAGAUUUGGGAGUGCUCGCAAGAGAACCGGAACACAGGUGCUGCAUGGCUGUCGUCAGCUCGUGUCGUGAGAUGUUGGGUUAAGUCCCGCAACAGAGCGCAACCCUUGUCAUUAGUUGCUACGAAGGGCACUCUGUGAGACUGCCAUUGACAAACCGGAGGAAGGUGAGGAUGACGUCAAAUCCUCAUGGCCCUUAUGGGUAGGGCUUCACACGUCAUACCGAUGGUCGGGACAGAGGGUCGCCAACCCGCGAGAGGGCAAUCCGAGGCUUCCGAUCAUAGUCCGGAUCACAGUCUGCAACUCGACUGCGGCUGAAGUCGGAAUCGCUGGUAAUCGCGGAUCAGCAUGUCGCGGUGAAUACGUUCCCGGGUCUUGUACACCACCGCCCGUCACACCAUGGGAGUGGGUUUACCAGAAGUAGUUAAGCCUAACCAUGGAGGCGAUUACGACGGGAUUCAUGACUGGGGUGAAGGAAGUCGUAACAAGGUAA
Molecule: ribosomal RNA, 1472 nt
Filed under: uncultured Bordetella sp.
Lineage: Bacteria; Pseudomonadati; Pseudomonadota; Betaproteobacteria; Burkholderiales; Alcaligenaceae
Description: partial 16S-23S ribosomal RNA intergenic spacer
Rfam family: Bacterial small subunit ribosomal RNA
Source: RNAcentral